GUGUGGUGCUGUGGGAGGCAGGUGGGAUGCUGCACCCCCAGAAUCUUCUCACCAAUUGACUGGAUGCUGCUCAGCAUCUUGGAGCCAGCCCUCCCCCAGGCUGGGGCUUCCUGGCUUUUAUAGGGGCUGCAUGUCACCACCUUCCCUGCUUUCAGUGAG
Molecule: non-coding RNA, 159 nt
Organism: Echinops telfairi (small Madagascar hedgehog)
Lineage: Eukaryota; Metazoa; Chordata; Mammalia; Afrosoricida; Tenrecidae
Source: Rfam